AUUGCACGCUGGCGGCAGGCCUAACACAUGCAAGUCGAGCGAGCGGCGGACGGGUGAGUACUGUCUGGGAAACUGCCUGAUGGAGGGGGCUAACGACUGGAAACGCUAGAUACUACUCCAUACCAUCUGCUCUGCCACGAGGGGAUUGGCUAGUGGGUGGGGUAACGGCGCACCUCGGCGACGAUCCCUAGCUGGUCUGAGAGGAUGACCAGCCACACUGGAACUGAGACAAGGUCCAGACUCCUACGGGAGGCAGCAGUGGGGAAUAUUGCACAAUGGGCGCAAGCCUGAUGCAGCCAUGCCGCGUGUGUGAAGAAGGCCUUCGGGUUGUAAAGCACUUUAAGCGGGGAGGCGUUACCCGCAGAAGAAGCACCGGCUAACUCCGUGCCAGCCGCCGCGGUAAUAC
Molecule: ribosomal RNA, 406 nt
Filed under: uncultured bacterium
Lineage: Bacteria
Description: partial 16S ribosomal RNA
Rfam family: Bacterial small subunit ribosomal RNA
Source: RNAcentral